UCCUGACCAUUGCUGGUAGGUCUGCUAGUAGAUAUCAAUCCUACCAGAAAGCUCGUCACUCUCUGUAUCUCUCUGUAAUUUAAGAAUAAUUAAUUAAAUUUUUUUUAAAUAGUUAGAGAGUUAAAAUAUACUAAUUAAAAAUUACUUACUAUCUGCUCUAUAUGACGAGCGAACGAUCUCGAAUCCCCACAAUACGAUACGAUCUGUCUUAUCCAAUUCACGGCGUUUUGGGCACAUCGUCUCUAUACAGUUAGCAGUCAAAUUAGUAG
This 269-nucleotide long non-coding RNA is filed under the name Elaeis guineensis (African oil palm). RNAcentral describes it as "long non-coding RNA (EGUI_LNC000344)". The record is from RNAcentral. Lineage: Eukaryota; Viridiplantae; Streptophyta; Magnoliopsida; Arecales; Arecaceae.